RNAcentral lists this ribosomal RNA (497 nucleotides) under uncultured bacterium. Its description in RNAcentral is "partial 16S ribosomal RNA". It matches the Rfam family "Bacterial small subunit ribosomal RNA", at positions 28 to 507 of the family's 1533-position model. The record is from RNAcentral.
GAUGAACGCUGGCGGCGUGCCUAAUACAUGCAAGUCGAGCGAACAGACGAGGAGCUUGCUCCUCUGACGUUAGCGGCGGACGGGUGAGUAACACGUGGAUAACCUACCUAUAAGACUGGGAUAACUUCGGGAAACCGGAGCUAAUACCGGAUAAUAUAUUGAACCGCAUGGUUCAAUAGUGAAAGACGGUUUUGCUGUCACUUAUAGAUGGAUCCGCGCCGCAUUAGCUAGUUGGUAAGGUAACGGCUUACCAAGGCAACGAUGCGUAGCCGACCUGAGAGGGUGAUCGGCCCCACUGGAACUGAGCCACGGUCCAGACUCCUACGGGAGGCAGCAGUAGGGAAUCUUCCGCAAUGGGCGAAAGCAUGACGGAGCAACGCCGCGUGAGUGAUGAAGGUCUUCGGAUCGUAAAACUCUGUUAUUAGGGAAGAACAAAUGUGUAAGUAACUAUGCACGUCUUGACGGUACCUAAUCAGAAAGCCACGGCUAACUACGUG